This 490-nucleotide ribosomal RNA is filed under the name uncultured bacterium. RNAcentral's name for it is "partial 16S ribosomal RNA". It matches the Rfam family "Bacterial small subunit ribosomal RNA", at positions 30 to 507 of the family's 1533-position model. The record is from RNAcentral.
AUUGAACGCUGGCGGCAGGCCUAACACAUGCAAGUCGAACGGUAACAGGAAGCAGCUUGCUGCUUUGCUGACGAGUGGCGGACGGGUGAGUAAUGUCUGGGAAACUGCCCGAUGUAGGGGGAUAACUACUGGAAACGGUAGCUAAUACCGCAUAACGUCGCAAGACCAAAGAGGGGGACCUUAGGGCCUCUUGCCAUCGGAUGUGCCCAGAUGGGAUUAGCUAGUAGGUGGGGUAACGGCUCACCUAGGCGACGAUCCCUAGCUGGUCUGAGAGGAUGACCAGCCACACUGGAACUGAGACACGGUCCAGACUCCUACGGGAGGCAGCAGUGGGGAAUAUUGCACAAUGGGCGCAAGCCUGAUGCAGCCAUGCCGCGUGUAUGAAGAAGGCCUUCGGGUUGUAAAGUACUUUCAGCGGGGAGGAAGGGAGUAAAGUUAAUACCUUUGCUCAUUGACGUUACCCGCAGAAGAAGCACCGGCUAACUCCGUG